GUGUGAUGUGACUGAUGUGACACAUCUGUCACCCCAUUGAUCUCCAGGGUUGAUUAGGCUGAUCUCUCUGGCUAAGCUGGUAUUCCCUUCCUACCUAUCACUUCAUGUCCAUCCCUCACAAUGUUGUGCUCAGUUGAAAUGAACACUAUUCCUCAAAUAGAGGAGGACUAGUUCUUGGUCAAGGAUAUAUGAGUAGCUGCACUCCCCCUACUAGAUCCUCCAAACAAGCUCUCAAGGUCCAAACUUCCAUUUCCUAAUCCCUUCAUUUCUCCAAUAGGGGAGAGAUAUCCCCUAAUCCUCUAAUGGUGUAUUGGGGCGGUGGGGGUAGUGGGACUGGUCAUAUGUC
Molecule: non-coding RNA, 346 nt
Organism: Mesocricetus auratus (golden hamster)
Lineage: Eukaryota; Metazoa; Chordata; Mammalia; Rodentia; Cricetidae
Source: Rfam